AUUGAACGCUGGCGGCAUGCCUUACACAUGCAAGUCGAACGGCAGCAUGGAGGAGCUUGCUCCUCUGAUGGCGAGUGGCGAACGGGUGAGUAAAGCAUCGGAACGUACCGUGUAGUGGGGAUAACGUAGCGAAAGUUACGCUAAUACCGCAUACGCACUGAGGUGGAAAAGCAGGGGAUCGCAAGACCUUGCGCUAUACGAGCGGCCGAUGUCAGAUUAGCUAGUUGGUAGGGUAAAGGCCUACCAAGGCGACGAUCUGUAGCGGGUCUGAGAGGAUGAUCCGCCACACUGGGACUGAGACACGGCCCAGACUCCUACGGGAGGCAGCAGUGGGGAAUUUUGGACAAUGGGGGAAACCCUGAUCCAGCCAUGCCGCGUGAGUGAAGAAGGCCUUCGGUUGUAAG
RNAcentral lists this ribosomal RNA (404 nucleotides) under uncultured bacterium. Its description in RNAcentral is "bacterial SSU rRNA". It matches the Rfam family "Bacterial small subunit ribosomal RNA", at positions 30 to 429 of the family's 1533-position model. The record is from RNAcentral.